Molecule: transfer RNA, 2558 nt
Filed under: Salmo salar (Atlantic salmon)
Lineage: Eukaryota; Metazoa; Chordata; Actinopteri; Salmoniformes; Salmonidae
Description: lncRNA (ENSSSAG00000117404.1)
Rfam family: UnaL2 LINE 3' element (bases 1205-1258)
Source: RNAcentral
UGGUUGUAGUGGUCCCUGUUGUAGUGGUCGUAGUGGUCCUGGUUGUAGUGGGCCUGGUUGUAGUGGUCGUAGUGGUCCUGGUUGUAGUGGGCCUGGUUGUAGUGGUUGUAGUGGUCCCGGUUGUAGUGGUCGUAGUGGUCCUGGUUGUAGUGGUCCUGGUUGUAGUGGUUGUAGUGGUCCUGGUUGUAGUGGUCCUGGUUGUAGUGGUUGUAGUGGUCCCUGUUGUAGUGGUCGUAGUGGUCCUGGUUGUAGUGGUCCUAGUGGUCCUGGUUGUAGUGGUCCUGGUUGUAGUGGUUGUAGUGGUCCCGGUUGUAGUGGUCGUAGUGGUCCUGGUUGUAGUGGUUGUAGUGAUUGUAGUGGUCCCUGUUGUAGUGGUCGUAGUGGUCCUGGUUGUAGUGGUCCUAGUGGUCCUGGUUGUAGUGGUCCUGGUUGUAGUGGUUGUAGUGGUCCCGGUUGUAGUGGUCGUAGUGGUCCUGGUUGUAGUGGUUGUAGUGAUUGUAGUGAUCCUGGUUGUAGUGGUCGUAGUGGUCCUGGUUGUAGUGGUUGUAGUGAUUGUAGUGGUUGUAGUGAUUGUAGUGGUCCUGGUUGUAGUGGUCCUAGUGGUCCUGGUUGUAGUGGUCCUGGUUGUAGUGGUUGUAGUGGUCCCGGUUGUAGUGGUCCUGGUUGUAGUGGUUGUAGUGAUUGUAGUGAUCCUGGUUGUAGUGGUUGUAGUGGUUGUAGUGAUUGUAGUGAUUGUAGUGGUCCUGGUUGCAGUGGUUGUUGUGGGCAUAGAAAUAGAAUUCAUCAUUCAAGUUACCGAUGGCAUAAUGGGUGGAGUCAUUGCAAAUGUACCCAUGAGUUUAAAUCUAAUUGCCAGGGUUAGAGGUUUCAAGCCCUUCCUAUGGAGUCUAUUUCCACAGUUGGAGGUCUGUAGCUGGGCUACGGAGAGAUCUAGCCUUACGGCAUGGUGGAAGGAACUCUUCCAUUUACAUAAGAGGCUCUGUAAUGGGAUUGUGGAGGUAGGAGCUAGUCGUUUGGCUUUUGGCCCAGUAGCCUGUAGUAACUGGACUAUACUUCUCAAUCAUUCAGCAGAUUAACCUGGGACAGUAUAUAGUAUAGGGUCCCGUGUGGCUCAGUUGGUAGAGCAUGGUGUUUGCAACGCCAGGGUUGUGGGUUCGAUUCCCACAGGGGGACCAGUAUGGAAAAAAUGUAUGAAAUGUAUGCAUUCACUCACUACUGUAAGUCGCUCUGGAUAAGAGUGUCUGCUAAAUGACUAAAAUGUAAAUGUAUAAAUGCAUUAAAAUACUCCCAAACUUUAGGAUGAGAGGCUGGAUUUAUAUCAGAAAUAAACGUGACCUUUUUCCAAAACACAUUUUGGUAGCAGUAGUGAAGUACGGAGGAAUUUUACUUAGAAAUCAUUUUGAUUUAUAAAUAACGUUGAAAUAAAAUAAUAAUACAAUAAUUUCUUUAUGAAAAUUCUGUACAAAUCUGUUAUGGAGUGUACACUUCAAAUGUAGCUGCACAAAAAAACUAUUUUGUGUUCAAUUAUUUAAUGGCUUGUUCUUAUUAAAUCAUGUAUUGGUCAGAAAGAAGGUUACAGCAGUUAAGGGUUUAUUUGUUUGAACUGUGAGAGAUUCUAAACACAUUGACCCAGCGUCGUCUAGGAAGGUGACGGGCUACAAAUCACAUAGAAUGAUAGCAGUGAGAAACUCUUCUUUCUCUCUCUCUCUCUCCAUUACAAACACUAUGCAUGCAUCCCUAAUGGUACCCUAAUCCCUAUUUAGUGCCCAUAGGGUCCUGGUCAAAAGUAGUGCAUUACAAAAGGGAAUAGGGUGUCAUUUGGGAUACAUUCCGAACAUAUCCCAAGGGAGGCCCCAUUCUGGCUUCGUUCAGCGCAGCUAUUGUAAAGUGAUGGUCUCUCCCAGGUUAACAGUACAGGGACUGGGUGAAUGAGUGAGAGUCUCUCCCAGGUUAACAGUACAGGGGCAGGUUAACAGUGCAGGAACAGCAUUACAUUUCACCCAGGCUUUCAACAACAUUAUAUUUCACCCAGGCUUUCAACAGCAUUAUAUUUCACCCAGGCUUUCAACAAUAUUAUAUUUCACCCAGGCUUUCAACAACAUUAUAUUUCACCCAGGCUUUCAGCAGCAUUAUAUUUCACCCAGGCUUUCAACAACAACAUAUUUCACCCAGGUUUUCAACAGCAUUAUAUUUCGUCCUGAUUCAUACAAUUUCACGCUAUAGCUCAACUGUUGUUUUAGCAGAGUUCUUUUAAAAGUUAUUUCAAUAAAAAAAAAAAUGUUAAAAAAUGUGUUGGCCAAUAGGGGGCGAUAGCAUCGUAUAUAACACAAUGUAUUAUGGGUACAUGAUCACGAUAGUACAGCGGCUGAUGUCUCCCAACCCUACUAGUAUCAGUACUACAAUACCCCAUGUCAGGAGAUGAGCCGCAGGUCUGCAGUGUUUCUGUAAACAGGCUGAGUCUUCACCCUGGCAAUAUGACUGGGAGCUUGAGGUAAAUAAGCCCCCCCCCACACACACACACACUGUACAACCCCCCUCCCACACACACACAAACACAC